Molecule: transfer RNA, 75 nt
Filed under: Podarcis lilfordi (Lilford's wall lizard)
Lineage: Eukaryota; Metazoa; Chordata; Lepidosauria; Squamata; Lacertidae
Description: tRNA.Ser
Source: RNAcentral
GAGCACUGUGAUGGAUUGGGUCAGUGCAUCUGGCUGCUAACCAGAAGGUUGGUGGUUCGAGCCCCCUGACCACCA